Ipomoea triloba (trilobed morning glory) is the source of this 1009-nucleotide long non-coding RNA. RefSeq lists it as uncharacterized. Lineage: Eukaryota; Viridiplantae; Streptophyta; Magnoliopsida; Solanales; Convolvulaceae. The record is from RefSeq and is a predicted model, not a curated record. The transcript has 2 exons.
UAAAGGUGCCUAGGCUGAGCUGAGCUGCAACCUUCAAUAAUACUACAUUUGAUGCCAAUGUGUCUGUCUGUUUCUUCUUUGACAGGAAACCCUUUGGAAUAAGAAAUCUGGGAUUAAGAAAGAACACAUAUUGCCAUGAUAUACUUUACAGUAGGAACUAGUAAGUUGAUUUGUUUGGAUUCUGACAAUGAGUCUGGGGAUGGUAGUGAGUUUUUUGCCCCAAAAAAGAAUGACAACAUUGGUUUCGCUGUUGAAAUGGAACGUGGAUCAAAAUUGAGCACUGGAUUUAUUCAGUCCACAUGUUUUCUUGGUAAGCUACUGUUCUGUUAAAUUUUUAUGUGCAAUCCUAUCAGAAACAGAAUGAGAAAACCAUAGUCACAUAAUCAUCUCUGUUGAGAAGCAGUGGAAUUUCUAUUAUUAAGCUUCAGAAUUGAGAUUACACAAGGCCACAACAUAUUUAGUCAUUCAAAUGAGACACAAGAGUAAAUGCUUGGGCUGCUCAAGGUAACUACUACUGACAUACAAGACUUAGGAAAAGACAAGACAAAAUACACUAACAAUAUCAAUGAAGCAAUUAAUGAAAAGUAAAUAUUUUGCAUGACAUUGUUGGAACAACUCUAAUUGUUUUGGAGGGAGAUAAAAUGAUGUUAAUAUUGUGAUAGGCUGAUAGCAGAAGUUCAGAAUUCAGAUAGCUUUGUUAUAACCUGUGGCAAUCACCCUUUAUUAUACUGUCUAUAUGCACAAGAACUCUUUGUUAAAUUAAAGUGUGUUGAAGACCUAGCUAGGGCCACCAUAAAGACAUUGACUCAGGGAAUGGCUGAACAAAACAAAGAACUAGCUGCAGCUAAAAUUGAUGAAGAGAAAGCCAAGAUUGUGAGUCUGUUCUGAAAGCUUUUGGUAUUUCUUUUUAGUCACGUUAUAGUAUAUGUUGGAGAGUAAAGUAUGUUUUCAAGACAUUAUUAUUUUUCCUAAAUAUUAUGAUCAGAAAUUGGUUGUGUUUCUAACAGUA